UCCACUGGUGUUUACGUUUCGGGCUGGC
This 28-nucleotide small RNA is filed under the name Bombyx mori (domestic silkworm). RNAcentral describes it as "ovarian small RNA-26730". The record is from RNAcentral. Lineage: Eukaryota; Metazoa; Arthropoda; Insecta; Lepidoptera; Bombycidae.